This is a long non-coding RNA of Rhipicephalus sanguineus (brown dog tick), 209 nucleotides long. RefSeq lists it as uncharacterized. The record is from RefSeq and is a predicted model, not a curated record. The transcript is spliced from 3 exons. Lineage: Eukaryota; Metazoa; Arthropoda; Arachnida; Ixodida; Ixodidae.
GCGAGGCCCAGAGUUCGGGUGAUCUGAAUCGGUGAGCCCUGCUCCAGCUGCUGCUGGUGUGGCUGAAGAGGAUGUGGCCCAGGAUCUUCCCCGUGCCCCAACACCUCAUGCCGCAGCUGCGAGAUGUGGGCAACCGGCAGGCCAAGGCGCUGGAGUUACUAGCCGCAAACACCAGGCGGCAGGGCCAGGCAUCAUUGGAAAGCUGCGCC